CUUGCUUCUCUCUCUAAAAGCUUUUAUGAAAUUCUUUCUUCUCUGCAUAAUCUUUGUGAUAAUUCAAGAUAGUUAAUAUGGUAUCCAGAGCAGGUUCGAGAUUUACAGUGGAGUUUUUUGGGAGCGCCGAUUGUGAUCUUCGUACUUUUCUGGUGAUUUCUGUCUCGCCGACUGCGAUUUCCGGUGAUUUCGUACUCUCUGUCUCUGCUAGGACAAGGUAACCAAGGAGGUUAUUUACCCAGGCAAGAGUAGGCAAAAUGAGUUGUUUCAGAUUCCUAUUUUCAAGACUCUGCAUUCUUCAGUACAACAUCUUCCAGCUUCAACAUAUCUUGGGCAAUUAAUCAAGUCUUCUGUGUGGCAUUAACGGCUGGGGCAUCCUACUAAUGAGGUCUUAUCUAUUAUGUUACAACAGUCACAAAUAAAUUAUGUAGUAGAUGAUCAAUGUACAAUGUGACACUCGUGUAUUCAGGGGAAAAUGUCAAGAUUACCCUUUCCUCAAGAGUCUUCUAGAUGUUUAGUACCAUUUGAAAAGAUUCAUUAUGAUAUUUGGGGUCCCUUUCUAGUAAAAUCCAUUGAAGGAUAUAGGUAUUAUGUAACCUUUGUGGAUGAUUGUACUCAUUUUGUAUGGAUCUUUCCCUUGUGCAAUAAAUCAGAU
RNAcentral lists this small RNA (655 nucleotides) under Malus domestica (apple). Its description in RNAcentral is "sRNA MD12G0123700". Lineage: Eukaryota; Viridiplantae; Streptophyta; Magnoliopsida; Rosales; Rosaceae. The record is from RNAcentral.